CUUAAGCAAGUCUCGAAAGUACGCAUGCCACCUCUGCUUGGCUUGAGACUCCCCUAUUAGAACUCUACCAUCCUCGUCCUUGAUGCACCUAACUUGGUCAAGAUCACGCGCCUUCCUUUCCCUUGCUUUAGCAAACCGGAAUAACUUCAUGUCCCCACCUUUCUCCCCUAAUUCCUCGUAUAUGCGGUCAAACGCCGUAUUUUUGGCUUCCAUAACCGCCAUCUUUGCUUCUUUCCUCGCCGCCUUGUAGGUCUCCAUGUUCGCUCUCCGUUCUUCCUCGCUUAUGCUCCCUACCAUCUUAGCAAACGCCGCUUUCUUCACCUCCACUUUUCCUUGGACUACAUCGUUCCACCGCCAGUCACCCUGAUGUCUGCCU
RNAcentral lists this long non-coding RNA (376 nucleotides) under Nicotiana benthamiana. RNAcentral's name for it is "long non-coding RNA (NBEN_LNC018177)". The record is from RNAcentral. Lineage: Eukaryota; Viridiplantae; Streptophyta; Magnoliopsida; Solanales; Solanaceae.